GAUCCGUUGCCGGGCAGAUCACAGGACACCGGCGGAGCCUUCCGCAGCCGAGUUCAGCGGCAUGGUGUCUGCGGUCGCUCGUUGGAGCAGGGUCUGAAAGCCCCCACACCGCUUCGUACUGACC
This 124-nucleotide non-coding RNA is filed under the name pig gut metagenome. RNAcentral's name for it is "xerDC RNA". It matches the Rfam family "xerDC RNA". The record is from RNAcentral.